AUGGUUCAUUAUGUUUUGUUUUUUUUUUUCCCUCACCAGGUCUGCUGCUUGAAUCCCCCCCCCAAACAUCUACGCUUGUCACCUGCGCAGCUGCUUGUUUGGUUUUGCAGUGACUGGAGGUCUGCCUUACUCUGGGCUGAAACACAACAAAGCUCUUGGAAGCAUUCUGCAAAACCAGUAGCUGUUUUGGGGUUUGCAAUACCCCCCCCCCCUUUUUUUUUUCUCAUCAGUGAAUAUAACGAUUCGUGUUUAUUUUCUCCUUUGGGCCACCUUCCUUCUCUCUCAUGUGGACAAGAAUUUUGUUUGAGCCCUGUUGUCCCCAGGUCUUCUUUCCUUCUCCCCAGGUGCCUCCCCUCCGCAGUCCCAAGCCAAGAAAAUCCCAUUACAAACCCAACAGGCACUGGAGCAGGCAGACCACUCGGAAACAGAGAGGAGCUUCCACGACUGACCACAGGAGUUACGAAUCACCCCUCUUUCAAGAAGGCCUAA
Molecule: long non-coding RNA, 489 nt
Filed under: Cairina moschata (Muscovy duck)
Lineage: Eukaryota; Metazoa; Chordata; Aves; Anseriformes; Anatidae
Description: domestica (muscovy Duck (domestic type)) lncRNA (ENSCMMG00000010561.1)
Source: RNAcentral